AUUGAACGCUGGCGGCAUGCCUUACACAUGCAAGUCGAGCGGCAGCACGGGAGCAAUCCUGGUGGCGAGUGGCGAACGGGUGAGUAAUAUAUCGGAACGUGCCCAGUCGUGGGGGAUAACGUAGCGAAAGCUACGCUAAUACCGCAUACGAUCUAUGGAUGAAAGCGGGGGAUCGCAAGACCUCGCGCGAUUGGAGCGGCCGAUAUCAGAUUAGGUAGUUGGUGAGGUAAAGGCGCACCAAGCCGACGAUCGGUAGCUGGUCUGAGAGGACGACCAGCCACACUGGGACUGAGACACGGCCCAGACUCCUACGGGAGGCAGCAGUGGGGAAUUUUGGACAAUGGGCGCAAGCCUGAUCCAGCAAUGCCGCGUGCAGGAUGAAGGCCUUCGGGUUGUAAACUGCUUUUGUACGGAACGAAACGGCGAGCUCUAAUACAGUUUGCUAAUGACGGUACCGUAAGAAUAAGCACCGGCUAACUACGUGCCAGCCGCCGCGGUAA
Molecule: ribosomal RNA, 500 nt
Filed under: uncultured bacterium
Lineage: Bacteria
Description: partial 16S ribosomal RNA
Rfam family: Bacterial small subunit ribosomal RNA
Source: RNAcentral